UAUACACACCUUGUUUCUUCCUAGCUGCAAACUGUUAUGUGAAACUAACAGCCACUGUUAGUGACUUAUCUGUGAAGAGAAGUACAAGAAAGAUUUAAAAGCCACUCCAUAAAUGUCACCCUUGCCAACAAUUUUAAUUUGAUGGAGCAGAAGUGACAUCAUAGGCAGCAUGAGGGGGUUGUGGUAUAAAUAGCAAGAACCCUUUAACUCAGGGGUAUUGGCUAGCCCUUCUGGUAGCUGCCUCUGCUUCUGGAGUCUGGCUGUUCGGCAUGCGGCUUUGUGAUUCGAACUGCAUCAGGUACCCAGGAGUCAGCACCUGGCUCCUGCAUACGUGUUCUGGACCAGAGGACGGCCUAUGCCCCUCCACCUCCCUCACACUCAUAUUUGGUCUGGAGCAAGGGGUCUGGGUUUCCUUCCUGCUGGCCACAUGUUAGCUGGCUCGUGUCAGACUGGAUUGAUGCCUUCUUUUCUAGCUUACCCUUCUCCUCUCAUGCCAUGGUUCUGAGGAACAGGGAACUGCGCAAGACGAAUUGUUCUUAGGUUUGUAGCCAGGAUGCCAGCCUAUCCGGGAGGUUGGAGACUGCAGGGAACAGCAGGGUAGCACUGAGGCCUGACUUUCAGGCAACUGCCCCACCUGGAACUCUGCUGAGAGCUGCAACCUGCCAUCUGAAAGCUAACCACCGCGCUGACUCACCAUCCUUGUGGUUGAGAGAACACCAGCGAGCAAGAGGCUCCCAUGAGCCCUGGGGCUUCAAAAUAUAGGCCAGAGAGCCCCCACCGGAAGGGGCUUCGAGACCCAUAGAGGAUGCAACCUGAGGAUUGGCAGGGGCUCUGGCAGUAUGCAGUGGAGACAAGGAAGUGAAUCCAUUCACCUGUUAUCACCUCUUCUGAUUAGAAACUCCAAACCCUGUGAUGUCAUAGUCUCUGUCUAGGGGCUUGGUCUAUGUAGGAGGAAGCCUGUAUGCCGCCAUUAACCAUGUGACUUACUAGAGGCGCAUACAGAUGAGGUAAUAAAAGAGCGGUUACCACACCGCUAACCACACCCACUUUAAG
Molecule: long non-coding RNA, 1053 nt
Organism: Mesocricetus auratus (golden hamster)
Lineage: Eukaryota; Metazoa; Chordata; Mammalia; Rodentia; Cricetidae
Exons: 3
Source: RefSeq, a predicted model, not a curated record